Molecule: long non-coding RNA, 970 nt
Organism: Schistocerca cancellata (South American locust)
Lineage: Eukaryota; Metazoa; Arthropoda; Insecta; Orthoptera; Acrididae
Exons: 2
Source: RefSeq, a predicted model, not a curated record
CUCUGUGACUUUUCUAUAAUAAUAAUUUCAAGAAUUCAAAUAAAUAUGUGUAUUGUGUGUUAGGAUGCGUGUGAAUAAGAAUGUGUGCGUGAGAGGAUGUGGGACGUUCGGCAUUAUUAAAAAUCAUUCAUGUAAUUCUCUACAGGAACUGGCAAGUGUUCCAACUCUGUAACGUGGGAACGAAUUCACUAGUUGUUCCCCUACUAGUGAGUGUCGGAUGUCCAAGUAUGUAUGCUUAUGUAUAAGACAGCCAGAACAUUCGCGACUACAUAAUAAAUUUCCAGAUGUAAAGUAAAGCUUAUAGUUCAUUUUGUUUUGUUUAUUUAAUUAGAGACUUUUGUGUUACUUAAUUUGAUGACGUUAAUGAGCCUAGAGAAGUGGUUUGUGCUUGCUAGAUUUUGGCGCGAGCCGCGCCCUAGAAGUGAGUUCUCAUUCGUCGUAAGUGCUGAUAGCCAAUGAGAAGCGAGACGGUUGGCCGCCUAGCGAGGAGAUAUAGUUUUGAGUGUGGGAGAGUGAGAAAGGAGUCACGAGCUACCUUUGAUUGGGGGCGGUAUGCUGGAUGUGACUUUUCGUAUUAUGUGCAAGAUGAAGUCCUGGGAUGACUUCUGCGUUAUGGUCCAGUGUUAAUGGUAUCUGGUGGUGACCAGAAACUGUUUAUGAAAACUUUAGAGUGUUUUGAUAAUUCGUUCCGAUGAAAAUCGCGAGUGAACUUUGAAUUAUAUAGCGUGGCGGUACUGAGUAUUUUAUGGCGAGCAUAAACUUUUGCUAAAGACAACCACUGAAUAUCGUGUGCAGAAGUAAUUGGCCGAUCAUUGACUGUGUUACAAGUAAUUGGUUUCGGAACUUGGGAAGGUAAAAGUUCUGGCUGUUUUAGGUAUGGUGAUAACUGUGAGCAGAAACUUUAGUAAUUUUCAUAAAUGUGGGCUGAUGAUCUUGUUUUACGGCAAUAAAGAUCUACUGAAGGUUUAAA